GCCGGACCGGGCCGGGUUUCCCCCGGCCGCGGCGCGUUCCCGCCCCUCCAGGAUCGGCCGAUCGGGCCCUGCCACUGGCGUGCGAAUCGGCAGAACCGGCA
RNAcentral lists this transfer RNA (101 nucleotides) under Posidoniimonas corsicana. RNAcentral's name for it is "Planctomycetes bacterium KOR34 tRNA-Gly". Lineage: Bacteria; Pseudomonadati; Planctomycetota; Planctomycetia; Pirellulales; Lacipirellulaceae. The record is from RNAcentral.